This 845-nucleotide small RNA is filed under the name Pan troglodytes (chimpanzee). Its description in RNAcentral is "retained intron". Lineage: Eukaryota; Metazoa; Chordata; Mammalia; Primates; Hominidae. The record is from RNAcentral.
CGUGCGGCUGCCGGAGUUCUGGGAAGUUGUGGCUGUCGAGAAUGGGGGUCUGUGGGUACCUGUUCCUGCCCUGGAAGUGCCUCGUGGUCGUGUCUCUCAGGCUGCUGUUCCUUGUACCCACAGGAGUGCCCGUGCGCAGCGGAGAUGCCACCUUCCCCAAAGCUAUGGACAACGUGACGGUCCGGCAGGGGGAGAGCGCCACCCUCAGGUGCACUAUUGACAACCGGGUCACCCGGGUGGCCUGGCUAAACCGCAGCACCAUCCUCUAUGCUGGGAAUGACAAGUGGUGCCUGGAUCCUCGCGUGGUCCUUCUGAGCAACACCCAAACGCAGUACAGCAUCGAGAUCCAGAACGUGGAUGUGUAUGACGAGGGCCCUUACACCUGCUCGGUGCAGACAGACAACCACCCAAAGACCUCUAGGGUCCACCUCAUUGUGCAAGGUAGGUGGGCGUGGCUUGGCGGGGAGAUCUGGCUGGCCAGCCUGGAAAGCCGUCGGGUAAAGGUUUGUUCUCUGAUCCUCAACAGAGAUGAGUUAUCCUUAUUCUACGCAUCUAGGGUCCAGGGCGCAUUUCUGGUUGUCAUUUUGCAGUUAGAAGCUAAAUUUUCCAGUCAUUUUCAUUGAGUGGAACUAGGAAUUGUUUUUUUCAUUUUUGUUCCAAUAAUAUAUUUUCUCAGGAAAUUAUCUUGUAAUUAUUGCUCUUCUUGGCUUUUUUCUCCCCUAAGUUUUAGUUAGUUUUUUUGUUUGUUUUUUGUUUUGUUUUGUUUUUUAGAUUUCAUCCAAUUCCAAGACCGUGUUAUGUUUAAAACCAGACUUUUAAUGCACUUUUGGAAGUACAUGUAUGCC